UACAGAGGUCUCAAGCGUUGUUCGGAUUCAUUGGGCGUAAAGCGCACGUAGGCGGACUGUUAAGUCGGGGGUGAAAUCCUGGGGCUCAACCUCAGAAUUGCCUCCGAUACUGGCAGUCUCGAGUGCGGGAGAGGUGAGUGGAAUUCCCAGUGUAGAGGUGAAAUUCGUAGAUAUUGGGAAGAACACCAGUGGCGAAGGCGGCUCACUGGCCCGUAACUGACGCUGAGGUGCGAAAGCGUGGGGAGCAAACAGG
RNAcentral lists this ribosomal RNA (253 nucleotides) under uncultured bacterium. Its description in RNAcentral is "partial 16S ribosomal RNA". It matches the Rfam family "Bacterial small subunit ribosomal RNA", at positions 524 to 776 of the family's 1533-position model. The record is from RNAcentral.